RNAcentral lists this unclassified non-coding RNA (24 nucleotides) under Mus musculus (house mouse). Its description in RNAcentral is "oocyte_clustered_small_RNA3247". Lineage: Eukaryota; Metazoa; Chordata; Mammalia; Rodentia; Muridae. The record is from RNAcentral.
UGGUUCCGGUCUCUUCGGCCAGGA